GAAAUAGAAUCUUUUUCUUGAAAAUCUUCCACUUUUCACACAAAGAAAAACAGAAUAUACUAAUACUAUGUGUGUCUGUAUGCAUUCAUAUCAGAAUAAUGAUUAAAAAAAACAGCAUCCAUUUUUUGUAAACAAACAUUUUCUAUUUUCCAGACGCCUCAAAGACAAAUUUUUAAAAUCUAAACUCUAUUAAAAGACAAAUCCAUUCUGCCAAAUCACAGAUCUUAUUUGCCUCCUAAAUUGCUACUUAAAGGAGCAAUAUGUAAAAUGGGUACUGCAGUCCAAAUUCUAAACAUUGUAGAGAGCGGUCUCCCCCCGCCCCCUCCUCUCUAGAGUUGAUGCUCACGCAGGUUGUCAUGUCGCAGACACUGAAGCUUCAGUGUUUAGCCAGCUCUGCAUCGGUCUGUAAACCUUUCUGCGUCCAUCCUCUCUGUCUUUAGCCUGCUCCACUUUUCAGAAAAUGUGUGCUCAAACAUGCCGUUUGGAGAUUUCCCUUCAUGACAUCACAAAGGGCAGUAGCCCCUCCCCCAGGUGGGUGACACUCCCACAGCUAGUUGUUUGUUCUGCCCUCUGAGUCUGCCUUCUCACUGUAAACAAUAGGGCAUGGAGCGAGAAAGCCAGAGACACCCAAGCCCUUCCAGAGAGGGGGUGUGGUCAGACACAGCUCAUUUACAUUUAAAGGUACAGACACAGAAACAGCCUGUUCUGAGCAGGGCUGAAAUAGAGGGGUUUAUAGGUAUGAUCAAAUACAGGAUCAGAGUGGAUUUAGGACAAGAAACUUCACACACAUGUUUUGAGGAACUCUGAGACUUAUUUAAACUGGAGGAGAAUAUGUGACCUUUAACCCUUUAAGAUGUUUGUAUUUUCCUCACAGUUUUCUGCUUCUGUCUUCUGUGAAGUGACUUUUUUAUUCCGAUACAUAAAAGGCGUCAUAUUUUUAUGAACUACUCAACAUGUUCUUUAUUCAGAACUUGUCUUUUUCAUGUUUCCUGACUGAUGUCCGCACAGAGUUCCACUGAGAAGACGAAGUUAUGACAGAUUUUGGUAAUAGAUUCUGGAUUGUUUGUCUCUUGUUUUGUCUCAAGUUUGAGUUUGUUGUGCACUUUCUUUGCAGAGAAAUAUCAGGUCAGUAUGUCAUCUUUCCUUCAUGUUUUGAUUCUUAUGUCACCUUGAAAAGUCUGAAAAUGUUCCACAAACACAGUUGAAUCUUUUAAAUAAAGUUUUUUUCCAGCA
This is a long non-coding RNA of Labrus mixtus (cuckoo wrasse), 1233 nucleotides long. RefSeq lists it as uncharacterized. The transcript is spliced from 2 exons. Lineage: Eukaryota; Metazoa; Chordata; Actinopteri; Labriformes; Labridae. The record is from RefSeq and is a predicted model, not a curated record.